RNAcentral lists this long non-coding RNA (13954 nucleotides) under Equus caballus (horse). RNAcentral's name for it is "lncRNA (ENSECAG00000058821.1)". Lineage: Eukaryota; Metazoa; Chordata; Mammalia; Perissodactyla; Equidae. The record is from RNAcentral.
GUUGGAUGGAGCAAUAACUCAGAAAAAAGUAGUCAUUUAGAUGUGUGGAGUGUUUUCAUGUUCCAUUGGCAAGAAAGUAAGUGGAGAACAAAUCCAUACUUAGGGAAAACCCAAAACAUUCUGACUCACUGGAAUCUGGGAGUCCUGCCUGACUUCUCUCCCCGCCUUCCGUCUGUCCUCCUGCGGAUCAACAAGUCCCAUUGAUCCCGCUCCUUCAGACUGUGCUCCAUUAGGAGAGGAGCCAUAUCUGGUUCGCUCUUGAAUCAUUCAUUCAUUCAUUCAUCCGCUAAACACUUAUUCAGGGCCUGAUACAGCAGGCAUUGUGUUAGGUGCUAGGAGGAUAAACAUAAGCAAGAAUUAUCUCUGCCCUCAAGAUGUCGACGGCAUCCUGGAAGAGGGAGAUACGGAGCAGAGGCUUCUGUCUGAACGUGUCUUAAAUCAGACUAGCCACAUCUCAAGUGCUUGAGAGCCAUCUGUGGCUAGCGAGGACCACAGUGGGGAACGCAGCUCUGGACGCCUUUCCCAAGAACACACGUCUAUGAACUCUUCUGCGGAAACAGCUGGCAGAGCUGCCUAGAUACAUCCCUCCUGGAGAUCCAGACAAGGGAUUAACACAAGAAAGUCUCUGAGAAGUCUCCCAGGCAUAAAAUGGUUGUAUCUACUGUUUCUCAAACAUGCGCGGCCACAGAAACCAUCACUCCUCCCAGCAUAACCAACCACAUGUGGUCUGUGCUCUUGGGCAGCUCUGCUCCACAUAGCGGCAGGCUGCUGACGAGUCCGCAGCAGACAGGGGGCAGAUGACCCACUCUAACAGCAGCCCGUGCGACAGGGUCGGGGGAAGAAGAGUGGGGACACACGUCUAUGAAGAAACUGUUUUGGGGAAUGAUGCAAGGCACUAGCACAAAUGCCGGGAGGACCACAGAGGUUCUCCUCGUUCCCAUCAGUAAUUAAGUCUUUAUUUAGUAAAGAAUGUGAAUUUGCAAAGAUUUCAUCUGACCUCUUCCCAAGCUGCAGAUUUGACGAGAAUAAUUUUCUCACUCAUGUUCAUUGUUUGGAUCAAUAAUUAAAUCCUCAAUUAAAUAAAAAAUUUUUAAUAUCUUAUUGAAAAUUUUUGUGUGGGAUGUGCUCAAGAAAAACCUCAUUUUUCCUGUUUCCAGUUUUUAAAAAUUUAAGCAAACUGCCUCUUUGAAGAUUUUCUAUUUCUUUUUACCUUGUUAUUUCUUUCCGCACUCCACUGUUGCGUUUUCUGUUUCUAUCAUGAUCACAGUUUUUACUUAUUCUAAUGCAAUAAAAAGAAAAUGUAAUUAUAAUCAAAGUGUACACAAUUUUAAUGUAUUCUUUGUCAAAAAUCAUAGAUCAUAGUAAUGUAAAGGAAAUAAAAUUUUAUGUACAUUUUAAAAAUGUAUUUUUAUUUUGAAAUAGUUAAUAUAAUCUAUUAAAUUUAAACAAAAUACAAAUUAUAAAGUAUAAUAAGAGUUAAAAUCAAAAUUAUUUAAACCAACUAAAAUUUUUGUUGAGGUUUUAAAAUAUUUAAUGAACUCAUAUUAAAUGUUUAUAAAAACACAAGUAUUUACAAUUUUAAUUUUAAUAUCCUCCUCAUUGCUAAUAUUAAAGUUGAUAUCACACGUUAUGUCUAGACCUAUAUACGUAUACAAAUUUAAGAGUAAUGUGAAUUCUUUAAUAUUGUGAAACAUUCGCCAGUCUCCACAUGCAGCAGUGGCAAAUAUUGCUGUAAUUCAUGAGUCUUCCAGAACCACCAAGCGUACUCCUAGCAUUUGUGGGGUUUGAAGCAAGAUGUGAAGACCCAUGUAGCACGUGUCUAAAUAUAUAAAGGUUGUAAAUCACACUAACAAAGCAUAAAAUAAAAUGUGUUCUAUUCCCUGAUCUUGAUGAAUAUACCUUCUGGGUUUUCUUCGGGGGAGGAAGAUUGGCCCUGAGCUAACAUCUUCCCAUCUUCCUCCUUUUGCUUGAGAAAGAUUGUCACUGGGCAAACAUCUGUGCACAUCUUCCUCUACUUUAUGUGGGAUGCCGCUGCAGUGUGGCUUGACAAGUGUGCUAGAUCCACUCCUGCGAUCCAAACCGGUGAACCCCAGGCCCAAAGUGGAGCACGUGAACUUAACCUCUAUGCCAUCGGGCCAGCCCCUGAAUAUACCUUCAUAAGGACAUGGAAGGUCAAGUUCAAAUUAAGCUUCUCGAAGAACCAUGUCAGAAAGUCACAGCACUCCAGCCUCCAGCCCCACACUUCACCCCUUCUCUUGCCACCUUCCAGCUCCAGCCCAGCCCACGUGGGUCUUGCACACUUGCAUGUAUAUACUGUAGUCUACAUGUCCAAGAUCUGACUAUAGAUGGCAACCCUUGGGCAGCUCUCCAGCUUAAGGGUGUGCAGCAGGGCGAGAAGGAGGCCACCACGGUCGCUGGUAAUGGGCUCAGGGCUAUUUGAACAGGGAAUUCUGGGGUGGGAGGAGACGCAAGCUUCAGGUGGGCACACCUGGGCCCUCUGUCCUAGGCCUGCGAGGAAGGGCACAGUCAAGGGAGGACCAGGGUAGAGCCCUUUAAAGUACAGGCCGAGGGCCAGCAUCUGAAGGUGCUACAGGAACCGUAAAUUGGAAUGCAAAGAGAAGAAAGAAAAGGGCAGUACUGGGAAGUGUGUGAGGGGAAGAACUUCGGCAAGUGUGUCGGCUUGCUGGAGCCGCCGCAGCAAAAUGCCGCAGACUGGGGGCUUCAACAACAGAAAUUUAUUUCCUCACAGUUCUGGAGGCCAGAAGUCCAAGAUUAAGGUCUUAGCAGAGCUGGUUCCCUCUGAGGCCUCUCUCCUUGCUCGUGGACAACCAUCUUCUCCCCAUGUCUUCACAGUCUUCCCUCUGUGUGUAUCUGUGUCCUCAUCUUUUCUUCUUCUAGGGACACCGAUUGUACUGGAUUAGGGCCCACCAGUGACCUCAUUUUAACUUAAUUACCUCUUUAAAGACUUUGUCUCCAAAUACAGUCACAUUCUGAAGCACUAGUCUUCAACAUAGGAAUUUUGGGAAGACACAACUCAGCCCAGAAUAGCAAGCUUCUUCAUAUGUCUUUCCUUAACCCUUGCCCACUGAAAUUCCUCGGCAAUGUGAAGGAAGUUGUGUUUUUCUCAUACAUGAGUAAUGACACAAGCCCCAAGUUUAGUAGCUCUCGGGGAGUUGCCUUUUGUUUGGGGAUCUAGGGAAGAGGUGUGCAGAAGAGAUUCGGGGAAGCGUUUCCCUGGGGCUUGAACACUGUCAGUCAUGAGAGUGGACGUCUGGGGUUCUGGGUUGACUAUUCAGUGCUGAGCACCACGUCCUGCUGAACAGAGUCACCGCGUGUCCUUCAACAAUUUUUUGUGUUUCUGAUUUGCUGGUCCCUCCAUAGCACAGCACCCGGGGGAGUGACCCUUCUUGUCUGAGUCUCCAGGAAGUAUUCCAGGAGCAAUGAGGGCUUCCGUCAUAACUGUGCAAGCAGGGCUAGAGGACGAGAGAGUAGGAGAUGAGUUGAUAAAUACGGACACAAGGCAAAAUCUGAAGCAGUUAUGGUAGGGAGGAAGAAAGAGGAAGGAGUCAGGAGUAAUUCCUUGGUGACUAGGUAAAUAGUAAUAUUGCUAACGAGAGAGAAUCCUGCAAAUCUACUUUAGGGAAAGAGGAGGUGCAUUUUGGGUACGCAAAUUCCACAGGUAAAUUCCACCAAUGGCAACUCCUCAAGCUCGUGUUCCCGUCGUAUGUACAGCCUGGUUAAUUAUGCCAGCCAGGAGAAUUCGAUUUAUAAACUAUGCUGGUGGUUUGUAAGCUAGUUAAUAAUCAACAUACAUCAGUUGAAAUGUGAAUUAGCCGAGUUUAUUAAUGAGAAUAUAGUCAUGACAAAAGCGAGAAAGAAAAGGGAGCAAGACAAGGGCAUAGUAUUUAAAGGAUUUGUGUGAAAACAAAACCAAACAUAAAUGAACAAACAAAGGAAGCAAGCCUUUCUAGAAGAAUGCUACCAUUCAGCUGUGACCUUGGCUUGGGACUUCAAGAGCCACCUCUGAUGAUGCCUGUGACACAACAUUCACUGAUUCAUUUCUAGAGCAUUUCCUUAUCAUUUAGCAUCAAAUGGUAGGCACUGAUGCUAACUAUGUUUGAGCCAAGUUUUACAUUCCAGGAAUGUUCAACAACUUUUUUUUCUCUUUAAAAAGACCUACACUUAUAAUACCUAUUGUAUAGAAUAGCCAAAAGAUGGGAAUAACCCACGUGUCCACCAACACAUGAAUGGAUAAACAAGAUGCAGGAUAUACAUGCAAUAGAAUAUUUUUCAGCCAUAAAAAGGCAUGAAGCUCUGACACACGCUACAACGUGGAUAAACCUUGAAAGCAUUUGGCUAAGUGAAAUAAGCUAGACACAAAAGCACAAAUACUGUACGACUCCACUUACACAAAGUGACGAGGACAGGCAAAUUCAUAGAGACAGACAGUAGAUCAGGGGUUACCAGGGGCUGAGAGAAGGGAGGAAUGGGAAGUUACUGUGUAAUGGAUACAGAGUUUCUGUUCUAAUGGAAAAUUUUUGGAAAUAGAUAGUGGUGAUGGUUUCACUACAUUGUGAAUGUAAUUAAUGUCCCUGACUUGUAUACUUAACAAUGGUUAAAAUGGCAAAUUUGUAUAUUUUAUCACAACAAGGAAAAAAACCCUUUUGUGUAGGUUUUGAGCACACAAUAGAGUUGAGUACUCCACAGUUUUCCCUCAAAAAAUCAUAGUCUAAUGUGUUCUAAAGCAAUCACACCAAAAGAAGUGGAUGUGAACUUACACCCCAAUUACUGACUAUGGGACCCAGACAGUGUUCCAGAAUAAAACAAUUUUCUGUUUAAUAGAUGCUGGUUAGUGUUGGAAAUAAGGUUUUUGGGUCAUCAGUUCAUUCUCAACACAAGAAACCCAAUCUAAACGCAUCUUCAGAGAUGAGUUCCUCUGGGCCAUUCCUACUUGCUACAUUCGUAGGCAGUGCCCUACUUUUAAAUUUAAAAAAACCAAGUCAAAAAACCCUACAAGAUUUCUUAGUAGGAAAAAUAUAUUUUAUAAACCAAAUGAAGCAAAAUCCCCAGCAGUCUCUUUCUCUCAAGUUUGCAAGUCCUUUUUUCCUUAAGGCAUUAGAUCUAUUUUUUGUUUUAUUUUUUGUUUUUUAAAAUAAACAUUUUAUUUUAGAAGAUUUUUAGAGUUAUAGAAAAGUUAAAAAGAUAAGUCCAGGGGCAGGCCCCGUGACUGAGUGGUUAAGUUUGCACGCUCUGCUUCAGCAGCCCAGGGUUUCGCUGGUUCAGAUCCUGGGCGGACAUGGCACCGCUCAUCAGGCGGUGCUGAGGCGGCGUCCCACACGCCACAACUAGAAGGACCCACAACUAAAAUAUACAACUAUGUACGGGGGCGAUUUGGGGAGAAAAAAAAAGAAGAUAGGUCCCAUGCACUCUACACCUAGCUUCCCAUAUUGUUAACAUCAGUAUGGUACAUUUGUUACCAUUAACGAACCAAUAUUAACACAUUAUUAUUAACUGAAGUCCAUACUGUAUUCAGAUAUCCAUAGCUUUACCUAGGGUCCUUUUUCUGUUCCAGGAUCCCAUACAGGAUACCACAUUACAUUUAGUUAUCUUCUCUCCUUAGGCUAUUUAAGACUAUGACAGUUUCUCAGACAUUCCUUGUUUUUCAUGACUUUGAGAGUCUGGAGGACAAUUUGGUCAGAUAUUUUGUAGACUGUCCCUCCAUUGGGGUUUUUUGGAUGUUUUCCUCAUGAUUAGACUGGGGUUAUGGAUUUGGGGGAGGAAGAUCACAGAGGUAAAUCAUCAUUCUCAUCAUAUCAUAUCAAGGAUAUGUACCAUCAAUAUAGCUUCAGACUGAUGGUGUUGCCCUUAUCGCAUGGCUGAGGUCCCUUUGUCAGGUUUCCCACUGUAGAAUCAUGCUCCUCCCCACUCCUCCCAUCCCACUCUCUUUGGCAGGAAGUCACUGUUUGCAGGUCAUACUUAAUAGGACAGGGAGUUGUGCUCCAGCUCCCUGAGUGAAGAGGAGAACUUCACAGCGCAGUGAACCUUACUGGCUGCAAAGAAAAAUUUUUUUUGGAGGAUAAAAAGGUGCUUUUAUUGAGAAUACUUAGAUCAAAAGCACAGCUUCCAAAACUUUCUAUGCUAGUAAGAUGAGUUUAUUCCAUUUAACCCCUGCAUAGAGAAGACCAAAAUAAUUACAAUUUUCUUCACACUUGGUCAUCAGAAAAUGAGAGAACUUAGCAUAUGUGAGUAUUACUUUAAGGAAACAAAUGAGGUUCAUAUUUAGCCAACUUGGUGUCAAAUAGUUUUAUUAGGGGAUAAAAUAAAAGAUACGGCAAAAUCAGUGUGGUAACAGAGUAAGGAAGGAGUGGACCAUGGACCGAGAGCAGAACGAGGCAGGUGUCUGAAGAAAGAUGGAGAAGCGAAAGUCACUCCAGAGUUGUGACAUGGACACCAACUUUACCCUAACAUAUUUUAAUAAAGUUUUGAAACUUUCACUUCUUCCUUUGUAAGACUAAGCAUCUUCUUAAGGAAAAUACAGCAAAAAAUUCCUGGUCCCAAGUCCAAGAAGCACCAUUAAAGUCCCUGCUGACUUUGAGAGGGUUUGUGAACAAGUGGGCUCGUCUGCCUUGGAGUCACGCUGGGAUACGAAAAGAGAUAUAUAAUCACUAACAUUAUUUCCUUUUUUAAAACAUAUACAAAUAAAAAAUUUUUUUGGAGAUUAGGGGGAUCCCAGGAUGGAAUUCAGGUAUGACAAAAUAAUCUAACUGUAUUACAAAUGUAUGAAAUAAUCUUAUCGAAGAAGGCAGGGGAAGUUGCUGAUCUAAGUAACAUGGGAAAUAAGUGGAGACUAUAAGACUAAAGACAAAAGGACUGUCGGUGCUCACUAUGCUCUACUUGUUAAGUUGUGUCCCACAGGAGUAUGGGCUCAUUUGGAAACCCCUGCAUGUGUACACUGGAAUGAACAAUAAGUAAAUGGACGGUGGGUGUUGGGAGCCAAGUAUCUCACUUUUGGAGUGGAAGGUUAGAGAUGAGCAAAGGGGAAGGCUAGAAUGAUCCAUGUGGUACUGGAAUGGAAUGACCCAUAUGGUACUGGAUUGGAAUGAUCCACGUGGUACUGGAUUGGAAUGAUCCACACGGUACUGGAUUGGAGACAUCAGUAUGAACUCAUGGUUAGCUUAAUAAAGAUACAAAUGAAUACAUAUAAAAACAUUUAUAGAUAUGUGUACAUAUACUUAGCACACACACAUAUAUUUCCUUGUUUUGUGUAAAACAAAACAAGGCCUAAAAGCACCAAUGCUCCAGUAGCAAGAGAUGGUUUCCAAUAUCACUCUCCAGUCAAAGGACCUAAGACUCCUUAGAGAAAUGGCUGAUUUUAGGAUCGGGGCAGGAAAUGCACCAGAUGAGCCUGCAGCAUCUUGUAGCGCCAGAAAGUAAGGAAGUGCUCAAAAACACCCCAACAGUAACAAGAGCUAAAAACUCCACAGUUGUGGGGAUAUAUCAAAGGGACACAGGAACCACGUGAAAAAGCUCGCAGUGACCAAAGCUGGAACAAUUUGAGCAAGAAAAUAAAUCAAGCAGAAUUGGAUUAUAACUCAAAGUAUAAAACCAAUAUCCAGGCGUCCAUAGUGAUCUAAAGAAAUGAUUAAACAAAUACGUCAAUAAAAGAGUAGGAGAGAAGAGACAAAUCCGAUGUGCAGAAUUCCAAAUAAUUUUUAUAGAUCUAAUUUUUAUGCCUAUAAUUUUCAUUUCAACACCAUACAAAAUUAUAUAAGUUAUUAAAAAUACUGUAUUUGAAGAGGAAAAACUAAGGGCUGAUAAGGCCACAGGUCAUCCUUCAACUGAAGUGAGUAAACUGAUGGGCCUGUGAAGCCAUCAGCAGGCAGAUUUUCACUUACUUCACCCCUAGGUUGCCUUGGUGAUGACCUGCAUCUGACAACUGCUACUCAUUCCACUUAGAUCUUAAGAGGACACCCUUCUUGAGUCUCCCCACACCUAUUUGAAUUACCAGGAGUGUGUGUCCUUAUAUAAGAGGACAGUCACACCCACAUGUACACACCUUCCAGAAGAAAAAGAAAUGUAAAAAUCUUUUGUUUUCAUUUGUAGAUUAAACAAGAUUUCAGUGUUUCCUAGUUUCUGAAAACCACACAAUGAUGGGAUGCUGACAUCUUCCUGGUCACCCACUGCUGAUGGCUCAGAGCGUAAGGACCACAGUGACUCAGCCCCCAAAACCACAGACACGCCCCUUGUCCUCCUGGAGUGCAUACAAAGGAGGGUGGGCUGCGUGACUAGCCUGGGGACACUUCCAGUAAGUUACGGAGUUGCUCAGAGCAGGCACCAACAAUGGCUAGUUUUAAAAAGCGAAAUAAGCAGCAUCACAGCCACUGCUGAAAAAUGUGUUCAGUCUUUUCUCUGGGAAAGCUUUGGCAGUCGGAGAUGGUUGAAAUGCUGGCAGUGCAUGCUCCAGCCGUAGUUCUUCUUUCCUACAUGGUCUGUGUCGCAGUGUGUGUCCUGCGCCAGCCCACCCAGGUAGCUGUGAAUGACAGCCCCCUCCAGAGAGCCUUUUAGAAUGAGAGGGCAUCUCACACCACCCUCUUGUCUGCAAAGCAAUGGCAGGCCACAGGGAGCCUUCAUGCAUUUUCAAGUAACAAUCUUGCCUUUAAGAUCCUUUUUUCUUCUAUUCUGGAUAUAACAACUGUUGGAUAGAUAUGACACUGAAAGAAGGGCAAUUCUUAAAGGACAAUUCUUAAGAAACCCAAAUUAGGCUUAAAUUAGAAAACAGAUGUGCCUUUAAAAAUAACUUAUCUCAUCAUACAAGCUAGAUAGAGCAGAAAUCAAUUGUCACAUAAGAUCUACAAAAUUUAGGUAUAUACCAAAAGGCCACAACUGGAUGGAAACACUCCUUUUCCAUAUCUUACUCUCUCCAAAGUCAAUCCUAAAAUAAAAGACCCAAAAUGUUCACAUUUAACAUGACGUUAAAUGUCCCCGGCCAACGUUUAAGAUUGAAAUUGUUAAACUAUCGAAAAAAUGAUGCAAUGUUUUAAUUACUCUAUACAGGGUACAUUGUUUUGUAAUUUCCUUUUUGUAAUGGAAACAUUUUCUUUUCCAGGACCGUGUAAACACUGAAGAAAGGACAAGGUCAGGUUGACAGAUCGUGGAACUUAGAUAGCUAUUGGAGGUCGACGCUUGCUGUGAUCUUCAACGUUUGCACCUGCUGUGGAGUAAGCUGACGUCCUUGGGCACCUUAAGGGCUCAGCUUAUGCACAAGUUGGGAAGAAGAAGGAGCCUGGGAGAGUAACUCCUUACCAACCCCCUCAGGCCCUUCUGCAUCGCUCUCAAGGGACGCUGUCCACCCAUGGCAUCUUGUUUACAUCAAUAGUAAGACACAGGCAUCAUCUUCCACUUUUUAGCUACAAAUGAAGAAGAGACCUCUGACACCCACAACUGUGACUGGCACUUCGAUUCUGACACGGUGUGCCAGGCUCUCAGAGUCCCCUCCACAUUCCAUACAGCUGUUGAUGGUGCAAAUUUGGGGAUAUUCUCCCUGGUUGGUCUUUCUCCAUCUUAGAUGUGCCCUUUGGCACAUCUCCCUAUAGAAAUAUAUGAGGCAGUUGCCACCUCUAUUAAGAGUCCUGCCAUUGAUGCACAUUCGGGGUGAAGUUAAUGCAUUAAAAAAUUAUCCUUGGGGCCGGCCUGGUGGUGCAGUGGUCAAGUUCACGCUCUCCGCUUCAGCAGCCUGGGGUUCGCCGCUUCAGAUCCUGGGUGCAGACCUACACACCACUUAUCAAGCCAUGCUGCGAUGGUGUCCCACAUAUAAAAUAGAGGAAGAUGGGCACAGACGUUAGCUCAGGGCUAAUCUUCCUCAGGACAAAAAAAAUUAUCCUUCAUCAAAAUUAUUCCCUUCUCUAUUAGAUAGCUUAUAUCUAGGGCGACCAGAUUUCCAGAGCGGGGAUGGAGAAUAGAGGGGUAGAGGGAGGAGAGAUGGUGCUUGACAGGCAGUAUUGUCACUAGGGAAGGAUACGGGUCAAAAAACAAGGAUUAUACCCCCUAAAAAGAGCAUUCUUGUCACCUUACAAGGAUUAUAGAAAAGUUACAAGUUAUAAUCAAAAUAAAAUAUUUAGUUAACAAGGAACUGUGCAUCCUUCACAUAAUUGCCGAGUAUAAUUGCUAGUCACUGCAGUAGAAACUGGACAUAACAGAGACAGCUGAUGUUCUCCAGUUGUAGCCUCCUGGAGCUACAGUCUAGCAUCUGAGACAAAAUGAAAGUCCUGUUUCUGCCUGUGUUUGCAAAAGGGGGACAUGUUAUGGUCCCCAAAGUAAUGGAAACAAUGAGAAAAAAAUUUUUGAAAAAAUAGUGAGAAUACUAUAACUAAGUGAUCAUCUUUUUUUUUUUUUCUAAAGUACGCUUUUUCUUGGUGAGAAGAUUGGCCCCGAGCUAACAUCUGUUGCCAAUCUUCCUCUUUUUUUCUCCCCAAAGCCCCAGUGCAUAGUUGUAUAUCCGAGUGGUAGGUCUCCCUAGUGAUUGCAUGUGGGACACCGCCCCAGCACGUCUUGACGAGCAGUGCUCUGUCCGCGUCUGGGAUCUGAACCAACCGAACCAGGAAACCCCAGGCCGCGGGAGUGGAGUGUGUGAACUCAACCUCCAGCUGAUUAUCUUACUAUUUAUUUCACUUACACCUAUCUACCCUCUUAGAGCUACAAUUCUAAACUAAAAAUCAGGAGGCUUGCCCAGUACUGCCAAUUUUGACAAUGAUCUGGUAAGACGUCGUCAUUUAUUUCUCCUGUAUUUUUGCUUUCCUAUCAGGUUGGAAAUAUGUAUCUUCUUUCUAAUCUGUAAUGUAAGACCUGGAAAUCUCUUUCAACUUUUCUGGAGAAAGUCUGCACCGCAGCAUAAAAUGCUCUUACAUUUUAGAGUGAACUCUGUGUGUGGCAACAGAGAAUUAAUAAAGGGUAGUGAUCCACGCCUCCCAAAAUAAUCAGGGAGUUAGUCUUGUCUAGUUAUUUCACCACAGCUGAGUAGAAUCGGAAUUAAGAGCUGACCAAGAGAGGAAAUAGAGGAGUCUGUGUAGGUGAAGAUAUGAUCAAGUUAGCAAGUUAACAGACCAUACCAAUUCCCCGUGGACGCUGCCACUUCGAAAGGCUUAAAGGCUCUGAAAUUUCAUGAAGGGUUAUCUCAGGUUUGGAAGGUAUGAAAUUGUUGAACAUUAUCAGAGAUAAAUGGGGGGAAGUAGACUAAGGCUGAUUCAAAUAACUCUUUUGAAUUACAUGCCUCAAGAUGUUUUAAAAAUAACAUUAAAUCUAUCAAAUUAAAAGUAUUUCAAGUAAUGCUUGAUACUAAACUAAGAGCGUGGAAUUGUGGACAUUCAGAAGAUUUUUAAAGAACUUACUGGUUUUACUCUAGAGCUGUAACAAUUCUGUGAGGCAUUGUGAGACAAAGACUGGAAGAGCAAAGAAGUCAGAGAAUUGAUCCUGGCAUUUGGGGGCAACUUUUCCCCUUGAGAUGGUUGCCAAUAACAGAUAAGCCCUCACAGAAGAUGAAUCCUAUCUUUGAAUCAUCUUAAUCCAUAAUUGGAUUUAUAGUGAUUUCAGAAAACUAGUGCCUCCAGCCUAGUAAAUCAUCCUUAGAGAAAGAUAAUGUCAUUAAGAGCUUAAAAUUGCUUCCAAAAUCUUCACAUGUAAUGCCCAGUACCCAAUCAAAAACAACCAAGAAUAAAAGGAAACAAGACCAUAAGAUCAAAACCCAAAAUAAACAACAGUCCGUAGAAACAGACCUACAUGGAUCUAGAUAAUGUGCCCAUCAGACGUUUAUUUUUAAAUGCUAUACUUAAUAUGUUUAAGGACUUAAAAGACAGGACUGAAAAUGUUGGCAAAGAACUAUGGAAGAGAACCAAAUGGAAACUUCAGAACUGAAAAAUACAGUCUGUGAAAUUAGAAAUCAGUGGAUGACUAUAAAGGAAAUUUCCAGAGUUGACUGGGGAAAAUCUUACACUGGUCCCAACAUUUUGCUGUAAUUAUUACUCCAUAUGUUCAAAGCAAUCUAGGAAAAAUGUGCAUAGAGAAAUAUUUGGAUUUGGUUUCUCUAUAGCCGAAUGAAUAAAUAAUACUUGCAUUCAACUAUAUAAUUCAGCAAAACAGUUUAGAAAUUUCAAGGUAAAUACAGAACUUGUCUAUUGUGACGUGUUUCUCACUGAAGGACCCUUCCAAGUCAAUAAACAAUUCACAUUAUUUUUAUCCCACUCAACUCUGACUUAAUAUAACUUUCUUUCUCUGAGCCCAAAGCUUAGGAAUCCUCAAAACUUGGAUUUCUUUCUUUCUUCUUGGGCCAAGAGCUUCAGUGAAAAUAUUCUAUUAGGAGUUAGGAAUCUGGGCUUUAGGCUGAUUUUUGCGUCUAUCUCUGAUGGACAUGGCCUCAUGUGGCUCUUUGUCUCUUCAACUGUAACAUGAAGGUGUGGCUAGCUGAGCUCAAGAUUCAGCCUUCUUUAGCUAUAAAAGUCAAUGACAGUAAUAAUAAUGGUUAUUAGACUCUCUGAGGAGAGGAGGGUGUGUGUAUGUUUAAAAAAAGAAGGAAAGAGAAGGAAAAGAAUUCCAGAAAUAAAGGGAAAAUAUAACUCUUACCAUGGAAGGAAGUUACCGUCCACUCAGAUUAACUGUGGGAAAAUAAAAAGCCAAAUGUUGACCAAUUGUUAACGUUUUCUUGAAGGAGAGACACACCUUUUCACACUAUGAGCUCCUCAGAAGUUGACCCUGUAAAUGUCUAUGUGUAAACCCUUUUACAUAAUAAUUAUUCCAUUUUACAUCUGUAUGAUGCUUUGAGUUCAUAAAUUCUCCAUACAUUUCAUCUAUUUCUAUCUUUAUAACAAACCUAUUCGGGACAAGGUGGGGCCUAGAAAAAGUAUGCAGGUGACAAAAAAGCUCUGCCCUUUGCUCAGUCUGAGGACAGGAUCGUGUUCUCGUUUAGAGGAUGGAUUUAUGCUGAACUUAUGCUCUCUCACUUCUCUCUCUAGUGAUCAAAAUAAUUGAGAAUUUGCUAUUGUCAGGAAUGUACAAUGGGGACAGCAUCUGCUUUGUUAGAGUCAUUCUAAGCCAACUGGAUAAUCCUAUUUUAAAUUAAAAAUUAGAUCGUAGCUCAAAAUAAUUCUUAGCAUAGUGAUGAUGUUCAAAACAGUAGAAGGUUAUUUUCUAUUCCCUGCAUUACAUGCAGUUGUAUCUGCAAUGCCUCACCCAGGGUCUCACAUAUACAGGUGCUCAAAAAAAUAGGUAUUGAAACAGAUUCUUGAAUUAAACUGGUACUCUGUGGGUAUUGUAUCAAACCCGACAGGCUUACCAGGUAAGCUGAGGACAAACCUUCAAGGAAAUUGUAAUUUAAUGUCUAGAUAUCCCUAAAUGAAGAGCUUUAGACUCAUUUCUAUUAGGUUUUGCUUAUGUGUUUUGUCUUGAUGAGGUCACUUCAUAAUGGUCUUCUGCUUCUCAACAUAUUGCCUUAGCUUUGCUAAGUGUAGUUUAAGCAAAAUUUCUCUGGAUUUUCUUCAGCUUUUUGGCUUGUCAUACUGAAAUACAGAGAUCGAUAACAAAAGAAAAGCAAUCAAACUUAUCACAGGCGUCCCUGAUCUUGUGUGGCACUUACUAAAUAUACGUGAUGGGAAAGAAUUACACUUGUUCCCCAGGAGAGUUAGUGAGUGGCAAUAAUAUUUAAGAGGAGGAUGGGGAGAAUGUUCUUUUAUUAGUAAAAUGAAUUUCUAUUAGGGAGAAAGAACAGGUGAGAAUAGAGUUUACGAGAAAGAAAACAAGGCUAUUUUUGGUGGACACAUACAUCAUAUCUGAACUUCCUCUAUGUUGAAUGUGUUUGUGCCGCCUGAAAGCCAAGAUAAAUACAGCCCAUGGUUAACACAGGUUGGCGUAAGGGAAGCCAUCUUAUAGAGGGGAACCAUGUUAGGACUAUAAAUGACCCCAAUCCACA